Long non-coding RNA from Neodiprion fabricii, 514 nucleotides. RefSeq lists it as uncharacterized. The record is from RefSeq and is a predicted model, not a curated record. The transcript has 3 exons. Lineage: Eukaryota; Metazoa; Arthropoda; Insecta; Hymenoptera; Diprionidae.
CCUAGAUAUCGCGAUGGAUAUCGCUGUUUGCACAUUCAAUGGCGGCCUUACCAACGUCUUGCAAAUAUUCAAGAUAUACAUACAAGAUAUUCACAUACAACAGCACAAGAAAACAAAUUUGAACUAACUGGUGAUGAGAGGAAUUAACGACAUCAGAGUCAGGGCGGCUAGGUGGUCUAGUGGAGUAAGGCUCCGAUGUUGGAGGUGGAAAUUGGUGUACAGUUAUAUAAUUUCUGCAUCGAAGCCGACGCCAAACGCAUUACGCACGCGGAGACAUCUCUGAGCGACGCAGAAAAAAGUGCGCGCGCGCUCCAAAAAUCCACCAGGAAAGACGAAGAAGACGAAAAUUUGGCCAUCGAAGGACAAAUGUAUGGUGCUGGGAUUGCAGACUAACGAUUCAAAAGUGCACCAGUGGUGCUGCGUGCCGCGGAGCCCUGCAAGCAAAACAUGCCCCGGGAAGAUAGCUGUGGAACCGCCAUUUUGUUUUUUUUUGCUGUAAAAAAAUUUGAUAAUA